Molecule: small nuclear RNA, 23 nt
Filed under: Arabidopsis thaliana (thale cress)
Lineage: Eukaryota; Viridiplantae; Streptophyta; Magnoliopsida; Brassicales; Brassicaceae
Description: snRNA_06088
Source: RNAcentral
CAUCUACAUAUAAGUGACCAAUG